GAACGCUAGCGGCAGGCUUAACACAUGCAAGUCGAGGGGCAGCGCGGGGCGGCAACGUCCUGGCGGCGACCGGCGGAAGGGUGCGUAACGCGUGAGCGACAUGCCCGUUGCCCGGGGACAACCGGUGGAAACGCCGACUAAUCCCCGAUGGGACGGAGGCCCUCAUGGGUCUCUGUUGAAAGUUACGGCGGCGACGGAUUGGCUCGCGUCCGAUUAGCUUGUUGGCGGGGUAACGGCCCACCAAGGCUACGAUCGGUAGGGGUUCUGAGAGGAAGGUCCCCCACAAUGGAACUGAGACACGGUCCAUACUCCUACGGGAGGCAGCAGUGAGGAAUAUUGGUCAAUGGGCGGAAGCCUGAACCAGCCAUGCCGCGUGCGGGAAGGAGGCCCUAUGGGCUGUGAACCGCUUUUGCCUGGGGGCAAUAAGGGCGUCGUGCACGUCCGAUGAGAGUACCAGGCGAAUAAGCAUCGGCUAACUCCGUGCCAGCAGCCGCGGUAAUACGGGGGAUGCGAGCGUUAUCCAGAUUCAUUGGGUUUAAAGGGUGCGUAGGCUGUGCGUCAAGUCAGGGGUGAAAUUCCGGGGCUCAACUCCGGGGCUGCCCUUGAUACUGUCGCGCUGGAGUGCGGAUGCCGCCGGAGGAAUGAGUGGUGUAGCGGUGAAAUGCUUAGAUAUCACUCAGAACACCGAUUGCGAAGGCAUCUGGCGAAUCCGUAACUGACGCUGAGGCACGAAAGCGUGGGGAUAGAACAGGAUUAGAUACCCUGGUAUUCCACGCCGUAAACGAUGAUGGCUAACCGCCGGCGACACACUGUCGGUGGCCAAGCGAAAGCGAUAAGCCAUCCACCUGGGGAGUACGUCGGCAACGAUGCAACUAAA
Molecule: ribosomal RNA, 877 nt
Filed under: uncultured Bacillota bacterium
Lineage: Bacteria; Bacillati; Bacillota
Description: bacterial SSU rRNA
Rfam family: Bacterial small subunit ribosomal RNA
Source: RNAcentral